Acanthosepion pharaonis is the source of this 99-nucleotide non-coding RNA. The record is from the annotation of a GenBank genome assembly. NCBI's taxonomy places the organism in Eukaryota, Metazoa, Mollusca, Cephalopoda, Sepiida, Sepiidae.
GUUGAAACACCGAUUCUCUUACGAUCACUGAACUUAAGCAACGUCGAACCUGGUCAGUACCUAGAUGGGUGAACUCUUGGGAAUACGAGGUGUUGCAAG